Molecule: small RNA, 1176 nt
Filed under: Pan troglodytes (chimpanzee)
Lineage: Eukaryota; Metazoa; Chordata; Mammalia; Primates; Hominidae
Description: retained intron
Source: RNAcentral
GACGACUGAAGCGGGGCGGAGACGCAAGAUGGCGGCUGUGGUGCUGGCGGCGACGCGGUUGCUGCGGGGCUCGGGUUCUUGGGGCUGUUCGCGGCUGAGGUUUGGACCUCCUGCGUACAGACGGUUUAGUAGUGGGGGUGCCUAUCCCAACAUCCCCCUCUCUUCUCCCUUACCUGGAGUACCCAAGCCUGUUUUUGCUACAGUUGAUGGACAGGAAAAGUUUGAAACCAAAGUAACCACAUUGGAUAAUGGGCUUCGCGUGGCAUCUCAGAAUAAGUUUGGACAGUUUUGUACAGUAGGAAUUCUUAUCAAUUCAGGAUCGAGAUAUGAAGCGAAAUACCUUAGUGGAAUUGCUCACUUUUUGGAAAAAUUGGCAUUUUCGUCUACUGCUCGAUUUGACAGCAAAGAUGAAAUUCUGCUUACGUUGGAAAAGCAUGGGGGUAUCUGUGACUGCCAGACAUCAAGAGACACCACCAUGUAUGCUGUGUCUGCUGAUAGCAAAGGCUUGGACACGGUGGUUGGCUUACUGGCCGAUGUGGUUCUGCAGCCCCGGCUAACAGAUGAAGAAGUCGAGAUGACGCGGAUGGCGGUCCAGUUUGAGCUGGAGGACCUGAACCUGCGGCCUGACCCAGAGCCACUUCUCACCGAGAUGAUUCAUGAAGUAAAAUGUCAAACUCGAGAAUGCCCCCGCAUCUCGAACAGUGGUCCUCGGGACACCAGGGGUGGUGGGGAGGGUGCCUCCGUGAUGUUGUCCUUGCAGGUUAUGGAUAUAUACAGAACAUUUUUUUGUUUUUUGAGAUGAGGUUUCUCCACAUUGCCUACACUGGUCUUGCACUCCUGGGCUCAGCUCAGGUGAUCCUCCUGCCUCUGCCUCCCAAGUAGCUGGGAUUACAGGCGUGAGUCACCGCACUCAGCUUAGAACAUUCUUGAUUUCUGAGUCUGCUGUUUAUACAAUGUUCAUAUUUUCCAGUUUUUAUAGUAACUAGGUCUUUACUACUAAACACAAUUAAUCUUAGGCUUUUUGUGAAUUUGUAUUCUGGAGAGGCAGAUUUUACUCUUUUUAUAAAUACGCACACAGCUGCUAUUGCCAGACUGCAAGUAAAAUAUCAGCUUGCGUCGGAUUUUCCCAGGGCUGGCUGCAGAUGGGCGCUGGUGCUGCUUGUUGGAGGAAGCCUG